UCCAGCAAAGGCGCAGGUCAAAAAGCACCUAAUUAUGAUAAAAAGGCUCAUGGAAACAAGUAGAUGGUGCAAUAAAGGGAAAAUCUAAACCUGUUAGCGGAGGCUACUUUGCCGUUUUAUUUUGAUCGAAAACUGAACAUCAGAAGAAAUUCAUCCAAUAUAUUGAUACAAUUCUUGAGUAAAACACAGGGAUGCAAUUUACGGCGUCCAGGAAAAGCAAGAAGGGAGAAGAAUAAAGCUGGUUUAACGACAUGCAAAUGUUUAGAAGCAUGUUUGCAAAUGUGUUGAGAAAACUCAUAUUGACAGCAUAUCUAAACAAGAUAUAACAGAAAAAACUCUUCACUCACAAAUUGGGUAUUGCUAUUCCGGGAGCCAAAGACUGGGAUAGAGGAAGAAAGGCUACAGCGAAUUUUCGGAAAGAAAGUGGAACCAACCAGAAGGAAGAAUGAUACAAAAAAAAUAAUGUAAAUAUGUUCUAUAGAAGUAUGUAUUUAUAAUCUUGAAAUAUCAUGUAUCUUUUUCAAGAUA
Molecule: long non-coding RNA, 528 nt
Organism: Belonocnema kinseyi
Lineage: Eukaryota; Metazoa; Arthropoda; Insecta; Hymenoptera; Cynipidae
Exons: 3
Source: RefSeq, a predicted model, not a curated record